UACGGAGGGUGCAAGCGUUGUCCGGAUUUAUUGGGUUUAAAGGGUGCGUAGGCGGCAGAUUAAGUCAGCGGUGAAAUUCCACAGCUCAACUGUGGAACUGCCAUUAUACUGGUUUGCUUGAGUACAGAUGAGGUAGGCGGAAUUGACAGUGUAGCGGUGAAAUGCUUAGAUAUUGUCAAGAACACCUAUUGCGAAGGCAGCUUACUAAGCUGUAACUGACGCUGAGGCACGAAAGCGUGGGGAUCAAACAGG
This 252-nucleotide ribosomal RNA is filed under the name uncultured bacterium. Its description in RNAcentral is "partial 16S ribosomal RNA". It matches the Rfam family "Bacterial small subunit ribosomal RNA", at positions 524 to 776 of the family's 1533-position model. The record is from RNAcentral.